AAUAAUUAUUAUUAUUUUAUGAGGGGUUACAUAUUAACAAGCAUGGAUGUAACCAAAAAAAAAUAUUAACAAGCAUGGAUUUUUUUUCACACUAUAAAGCUAACAAAUGAUUCCUAUUCUAGAUUCAUAAAAGAAAAAAUAUGUUAAGGUUAUAUAUGUUUAUUUAUGCUAUGAUUAUAUUGUUUUCCAUAUUUAUUUCAAUAAGAGCAAAUAGCUGUAAGUAAUUUUUUUCAUCGUUAUUAAAUUCGAUGAACUUUGUUAUUUCAAAAUUUAGUUUAAUAAUGGUAUUUUUAUACAAAAUUUAAUAUCAAAUCAUAUUUUUGUAUUAAUUUAUAUGGUUAAAAAAGUUUUUUGUCCCUAUAAAUAUGUCAAAUCUCAUUUUCAAUUCCUAUAAAAAAUUUCAGCAAAUUUUGAUCUUAAAUAAUCUUCGGUAUCGAACUUAGGAACUCAUGCAUACUACUCAAACUCAUCACCACCACCAUACCAAACCUAGUGGUUUGUCAACUCAUCUAUAUUACUUAAAAAAUUUAAUGUGUUUCUGCCUUCAUGUUUAAUACAUUAUAUAAACCUCUCUGACAAAAAAUUAAUUUCCCAAUUAAUCUUUCAUAAUUUUUAAUUAGUUUUUAUAUUUAUAUUUAGAAUAAUAUAAAAAUCUCUCCCUCAAUAAUUUAGUAUUUUACAAUAGAAUGGAUAAAUUAGAUAUGAAUUUCUAAGUUUUUGGUGCUUAAAAAAAAUUAUAUUUAGUUCAUCUAAUUAAAAAAAUUCUAAAUUAUUUGGGAGAACUUUGAGUUUAAGAAUUAUAAGCAGACAGUGUAAAGAAAUAUUACACGGACAACCAAUUAAAAUUCACAAUUUUGACACAUCAUCUUUUAAAUAAAUUUUUGGAAUAAAAAUUAAAAUUAAAUAAAUAUCUACAACCGCCUUCUUCAUCCACAUUCUUGGCUCUUUCUCAUUCCCUUCCUCUUAAAUAGAAAAGAAAAAACAUGUCCACCAUGAACACGCCCAGAUUUGCUGUGAGGCCAAUUUUUUUUUUACAGACGUGAGGCCAAUUUGUUGAUGCUGUUGUUAAUGGCUAAUAAUGGUUGAUGGAUGGAAAUCAUGGCAAAAAUAAGAAAAAAAAUAUGAAGUUUGAUUGGUUGAAUGUGUAAAACUUAUAUUACACUGUCUGCUCAUGUUCUUUAAAUCCGAGAACUUUUUGUAUUAUUAUGAACAUAAAUAUAAAAACUAAUUCAAACAUAUGAAAGUAUUCAUGAGUUGACUUAAAAAUAGGAAUCAAAAUAUUUUGGGAGAUCAAAACUUGCUGAAUUUUUAUUUUUUUUUUUGUCAAAUAGCCUAAUGGUUAGACUCACAUUUAAAUGGGAGACCAAAACCUGAUGAAAUUUUUUAUAUAAAUGAAAUUUUAGAAUAUUUAUAUUGUUCAAAAACUUGUUUAGCCCUAAUUUUUAUUAAAAUAAAUUUAAAUUUUAAAUGAUUUUUGUCUAAAUUUGAUAUAUAUGUAUAAAGAUUCCUAAUAGUAAUUUUUACCUUUAAAUUUUCUUAUUUAAAUUGUUCCAUCCCCAUUUUGAUAACGUUGCUUAAUUCUUUAUCAGUAAUUGGGUGCCGAAAUAAUGAGGAUUGUCGAGAUCAUGUGUGUGAUGAAGCUAACGACGUUCCAUUUUGUGCGUUUCAAUUAGGGAUUUGUGCAUGUUUGGAAAGGCCCACAAUGCACAAAAUAAGUGGCUUGUGAAUGUAUAUACACCAGGAGAUUUUGUCUCUUGUCUUUAUCACUUAGAUUAUAUAGGAAUUCUACGAAUAUAAAAUAAUUAUAAAUUCAAUUAUAUUUAAAUAAAUACAUGUAAAUUUAUUUUGACACUUGUUUCCGCUGUCAAAUAAAAAUAUAUUCAGCUAGUUUUUCAUGGCCUGAAAUUUUUUGGAGUAUGGUUUCUCAUAAAAUUAAAAUAUACUAUGAUUUUUUUUUGCGAUAAAUCUUCUCAAGGAUGGUUGUCCGCAAACUCAUCCUCGUCCGACUCUUUAUGAAAAAUAUACACCAGGUUCAUCAUAAAAAACGGGAUAAUUUUUUUUCUCGGUAAUAUUUAUUUGCUUAUGUUCUAUUUUCUUUUGAAGGUUGUCAAUGUCUUUUUCUUUUUUCAUUUUAUAUUAUUUAGAAGGUUGUCUAUGUUUUUGUAAUGAGACCAAAUAUUACACAGCUUCUAGAAGAGAAUGUGUUAGUAAAAUCACAUGGGGAUCCACAAAAUACGCAUGAGAAGGUUACAACUAAGGAGAAUAACGAAUAAAGCAUAACAAAUAAGGUCAGCAUAACCUUAUUUGCAAACUCUUGAUAUUUCCAACCAACUUAAUUUUUGCAUCAACAAUGUAUAGGAUUGAUUCUUUUUGCAAACUCUUGAUCUUUCCUUCAUGUAGCUCCAUUGUAUUUAUAGGCAAAUAAGACCUUUGGAGGAGCGUAUGAGAGAGGGAUUUGAAAUUCAAAUCCAAUUGACAUGUCACAAAGUUGUGCUCUCAUUUUUACUGUGAAUAGUGCGUUAUCGUUGCUUCAGUAACAUUUUUGUUGGUUCAAUUUGCACUUCACUUUUGUUACAUGGUUUCUAUUGCAUUUACGUGGCCCAUAUAAGUCCAUAAGAAGGAAUCUUUUCCUAAUUAGGGUUGGACAACUUGUAUGCAAGUGGGAGAAAAGCCAUGUGCUUAUUUGUACUUGUUUUGGUGACUCAUUGUCCUUUGUUCAUGAAAGGAUAAACCUUGUUGGAUUCUUGUUCCCUCUAUGUUCCCUUGUUGUUGUUGGCAAAUAUCUUCCAUCCACAAUGUGUAUGUGGAAGUUGCUUUCAAAUGAGGCUUUACACUUUUGGAUCCAAUAAUGGCAAGGCCCGUGAAGAUUAUUUAUUCCAUGUUUGGCAUAACUCCAACAUAAGUGUUUCCUUAAAAUGCUACCAUUCUUGGUGAGACAAAAAGGAAUAUCUUCAUGUGAAGCUUUUAUAUCAUUUAGGUCAAGACUUUAAGUUGCUCCUUUUAUUUCUACUCAUUGCUUGUAUGUUUUGCUUGUCCAUUGGUUCAUCAUCCAUAACUUUAUCGUCCAAGGAAAGUAACAUUAUCGUUGAAACAAUUCUCACAAAACACAUUAGUAGAUAACAAGAUAAUCAUAAUUAAAAUUAAUUAACAUGUUUGUUAUCUUUAAAACAUCAAAUAAGGAUUUUGUCCUCAACAGUUAGAGAUAUGUGAACGAGAGCGAUUGUAGUACCAAAAAAAAGCAUGUGGUAAUUGAAAAACAAGUGGGACUUGCAGGCCAAACUCUUCCAUUUACCAUGUAAUAAAAUCAAUGGGAAAAGAUUUUCAGUUAGACUCUGAUUUCCUUUUACCCCAAGCCAGACUUUUUCUGUCUAAGGUAAUUUUACUUUUGAUUGUAAUGAAAAUCAAUUUUGCAUCGACAUUAUAUUGUUCUUCGACCAUAGGUUGUUUGCCUAAACAGUUUCAAUCCUAGAGUGAUUCGCCAUACAAAGUGCGAACGAUCCUAUACUAGUUCACUAUCUAGAGUGCGAACUGUACCAGUGAAAGUUGUUUGAUAUGAUUGAAACGAAAAG
This 3569-nucleotide long non-coding RNA is filed under the name Trifolium pratense (red clover). RNAcentral describes it as "long non-coding RNA (TPRA_LNC000632)". Lineage: Eukaryota; Viridiplantae; Streptophyta; Magnoliopsida; Fabales; Fabaceae. The record is from RNAcentral.